ACGAGUUAUCUGAACCUUCGGGGGACGAUAACGGCGUCGAGCGGCGGACGGGUGAGUAAUGCCUAGGAAAUUGCCCUGAUGUGGGGGAUAACCAUUGGAAACGAUGGCUAAUACCGCAUGAUGCCUACGGGCCAAAGAGGGGGACCUUCGGGCCUCUCGCGUCAGGAUAUGCCUAGGUGGGAUUAGCUAGUUGGUGAGGUAAGGGCUCACCAAGGCGACGAUCCCUAGCUGGUCUGAGAGGAUGAUCAGCCACACUGGAACUGAGACACGGUCCAGACUCCUACGGGAGGCAGCAGUGGGGAAUAUUGCACAAUGGGCGCAAGCCUGAUGCAGCCAUGCCGCGUGUGUGAAGAAGGCCUUCGGGUUGUAAAGCACUUUCAGUCGUGAGGAAGGUAGUGUAGUUAAUAGCUGCAUUAUUUGACGUUAGCGACAGAAGAAGCACCGGCUAACUCCGUGCCAGCAGCCGCGGUAAUACGGAGGGUGCGAGCGUUAAUCGGAAUUACUGGGCGUAAAGCGCAUGCAGGUGGUUUGUUAAGUCAGAUGUGAAAGCCCGGGGCUCAACCUCGGAAUUGCAUUUGAAACUGGCAGACUAGAGUACUGUAGAGGGGGGUAGAAUUUCAGGUGUAGCGGUGAAAUGCGUAGAGAUCUGAAGGAAUACCGGUGGCGAAGGCGGCCCCCUGGACAGAUACUGACACUCAGAUGCGAAAGCGUGGGGAGCAAACAGGAUUAGAUACCCUGGUAGUCCACGCCGUAAACGAUGUCUACUUGGAGGUUGUGGCCUUGAGCCGUGGCUUUCGGAGCUAACGCGUUAAGUAGACCGCCUGGGGAGUACGGUCGCAAGAUUAAAACUCAAAUGAAUUGACGGGGGCCCGCACAAGCGGUGGAGCAUGUGGUUUAAUUCGAUGCAACGCGAAGAACCUUACCUACUCUUGACAUCCAGAGAACUUUCCAGAGAUGGAUUGGUGCCUUCGGGAACUCUGAGACAGGUGCUGCAUGGCUGUCGUCAGCUCGUGUUGUGAAAUGUUGGGUUAAGUCCCGCAACGAGCGCAACCCUUAUCCUUGUUUGCCAGCGAGUAAUGUCGGGAACUCCAGGGAGACUGCCGGUGAUAAACCGGAGGAAGGUGGGGACGACGUCAAGUCAUCAUGGCCCUUACGAGUAGGGCUACACACGUGCUACAAUGGCGCAUACAGAGGGCAGCCAACUUGCGAAAGUGAGCGAAUCCCAAAAAGUGCGUCGUAGUCCGGAUUGGAGUCUGCAACUCGACUCCAUGAAGUCGGAAUCGCUAGUAAUC
Molecule: ribosomal RNA, 1292 nt
Filed under: Vibrio parahaemolyticus
Lineage: Bacteria; Pseudomonadati; Pseudomonadota; Gammaproteobacteria; Vibrionales; Vibrionaceae
Description: bacterial SSU rRNA
Rfam family: Bacterial small subunit ribosomal RNA
Source: RNAcentral